Molecule: ribosomal RNA, 466 nt
Filed under: uncultured bacterium
Lineage: Bacteria
Description: partial 16S ribosomal RNA
Rfam family: Bacterial small subunit ribosomal RNA
Source: RNAcentral
GACGAACGCUGGCGGCGCGCCUAACACAUGCAAGUCGAACGAGCGAGAGGAGGUUUCCUUUCUCAAGCGAGUGGCGAACGGGUGAGUAACGCGUGAGGAACCUGCCUCAAAGAGGGGGACAACAGUUGGAAACGACUGCUAAUACCGCAUAAGCCCACGACCCGGCAUCGGGUAGAGGGAAAAGGAGCAAUCCGCUUUGAGAUGGCCUCGCGUCCGAUUAGCUAGUUGGUGAGGUAAUGGCCCACCAAGGCGACGAUCGGUAGCCGGACUGAGAGGUUGAACGGCCACAUUGGGACUGAGACACGGCCCAGACUCCUACGGGAGGCAGCAGUGGGGAAUAUUGCACAAUGGGGGAAACCCUGAUGCAGCGACGCCGCGUGGAGGAAGAAGGUCUUCGGAUUGUAAACUCCUGUUGUGGAGGAAGAUAAUGACGGUACUCAACAAGGAAGUGACGGCUAACUACGUG